GUUCCCGCCCGCUCUCCUUUUCAAGCGUUCAUUCGCAAGUCAGCUCCGCGUUGUUUUGCCGUAAAAGCCGUGAAAAUUGUGAAAAUCCAUCGGGGAAAACGGUCGCCCAGCUCCGUAGUGUAGUCCAGCAGUGUUUAAAUAUAAAAAACAACCCAAGUUCAACGUUGCUACAGUGUUUAGGGCAAAAAAAGCAAUGCGUGGGUGAACGCGGACCAAAAGCCACAAAGAAAGCUCCGUAAAUGCGUGCAAGUGCAGUGCAAAAGUGAUUUAUAUGUUUUGGAUGUAUGGAAACAUAUUAUAAAUAAACAUUCAAUCAUUUUGUUCAUGUCCAAACAAGCAUAAAUAGCCAAGGAAGCACCUUAUGUCCACAGGCGUCUCAUGUUUUUUUUUUCAUUCGGUCACGCGUUGCCCGCGGCUUGCAAUAAGAAUAUGCAGAAAAGGUUCCAAGAGAGAGAGAGAGAGAGCACACCCACUCCACCAUGUGGUAGGCGAUGCGAAGAUGAGCAAUCUUUUAUGCUCUCCCGCCAAGUGUCACACUCUAAUAAGGUGAGGCACUCCAAAUUCUGGAGAUGUCACCUCUCUCUCCAUCAACAUUUGGGAAUGUGCGUGGGAGUCUGCCCUCUAGUGGCUCACCUUACUAUUUAUAUACCCAAAAUGCGAGCUCUUAUUGGAAUUGCUGUUUACAAAUCGUUGUUCGUGUGCGUGGGCGAAGGGGAGAAAUAACGAUCGCAAAAAAGGAAAUGUAUAUAAGAGCUGGAAGUACAAAGAGAAGCAGACGAAUAAAGCAAUGCAAAUCUAACGGGACAACAAUUACGGCAAAAAGAACACACACAAUUAUGCUGUGGCGGACAGUGAACACUGGAAAGAGCGGCCUGCCAACAGUGAAGUCUAGAAAGCGGACACUGGACGAUGGACACUGGACGCUGGACGCUGGACGAUGGACACUGGACACUGGAGAUAAUUUAUGCAGCUCGUGUCACCGAUUGAUCGAUGACUGGGGGCCACCAUACACCGUCCACCACAAUCCACACUCCACAAUCCACAUCAUCUGCAGCAGCUGGAUAUUUACCGUUUCGAAUCGCUUCGGGGGGCUGGCGAUGGGGCUGGCGAUGGGGCCGAGUGAACCGAUUCGUUUGCCAACUCAAUUAUGGGGCGAUAUUCAAGAAGAUUUGUGUGGCAGACACAUAAAACAAGACACUCGCGUUGUUCAAUGAACGAAUGAAUGAAUGGAACUGCUCUACGACUGGGUGUCGCAGUGGCCUUUUCUUCUUCUGCCCAUCGAGACGGGCUCUUUUUUGUUAAUUAAGCUACAUUUCAUAUGCAGCUGAUGGAUUUAUGAAUAAAGCGCCAGCACCACACCACACCACACACCACACACUCCCCAAAAAGAGUAAAAA
Molecule: long non-coding RNA, 1397 nt
Organism: Drosophila pseudoobscura
Lineage: Eukaryota; Metazoa; Arthropoda; Insecta; Diptera; Drosophilidae
Exons: 3
Source: RefSeq, a predicted model, not a curated record